Molecule: ribosomal RNA, 251 nt
Filed under: uncultured prokaryote
Description: partial 16S ribosomal RNA
Rfam family: Bacterial small subunit ribosomal RNA
Source: RNAcentral
ACGGAGGGUGCAAGCGUUAAUCGGAAUUACUGGGCGUAAAGCGCGCGUAGGUGGUUUGGUAAGCGAGAUGUGAAAGCCCCGGGCUUAACCUGGGAACGGCAUUUCGAACUGUCAGACUAGAGUGUGGUAGAGGGUAGUGGAAUUUCCUGUGUAGCGGUGAAAUGCGUAGAUAUAGGAAGGAACACCAGUGGCGAAGGCGGCUACCUGGACCAACACUGACACUGAGGUGCGAAAGCGUGGGGAGCAAACAG